Molecule: long non-coding RNA, 391 nt
Filed under: Capsicum annuum
Lineage: Eukaryota; Viridiplantae; Streptophyta; Magnoliopsida; Solanales; Solanaceae
Description: long non-coding RNA (CANN_LNC011860)
Source: RNAcentral
ACGAGGACGGCAAACUGACAAUCAUAACAUAAGCUUCCAAGAUUUGAAUCAACAAGAUGACGAUAUUGUGAAUGAAAAUAUGACAACUCCUACUCUUCUUCUUCAAACUCUAAUGAAGCUAGCUCAAACGUGAAAUAGGAGCCGCUACUUGUCAAGAUUAAAGGUUAGAAGUAAUUUCAUUUGUUUAAUUAUUUUUUAUUGUUAUUACUUUUGAUUAAAGCUAAUUGCUUGUUAAAAUGAUAGAUACUUUGACCGGAGAAAUUAUAACUCAAAAGAUGAAAGUAGAUCGAGUUUGGAACUAAGAAAAAAAUAGAAAAGUCAUGAUGGAACUCAAUGGAGAUGGACAAGAAAGUGAUAAUGGUUCAAAUUUGCUUGUGAGAUUUCUUGGCAG